Bradysia coprophila is the source of this 505-nucleotide long non-coding RNA. The record is from RefSeq and is a predicted model, not a curated record. NCBI's taxonomy places the organism in Eukaryota, Metazoa, Arthropoda, Insecta, Diptera, Sciaridae.
UACAAAUGUCAGGACUAGAAGUUCAUGCACCAAAAUACAGUGAGGCUGUCACUCAUUUCUUCGAAAAUAUUCCUCAAAAUCUCAAGGUGACGUACAAACUGGACUUUGAGAUAAGUGAGAUGAUUUUUAAUCAAAAUACGAGCAAUGCUUACGUCAUUCGCGAAGGCAAAUUCAACAUUCUAUUUGGUAGCGACCAGGAUGUUUGGCAUGUUAUAGAACGAUUCGGUUUUGAGUAUCUCUCCUACAAACUUCGCUUGUUCUCGGCAAUUGAGGAUCGGAUGAAUAUGGUCGUACAGAGAUGUGUCGAUUAUGGAAUAACCAACUAUUUGAUUGCAAAAAAUAGGCGCCUCUUAGCUGGCAUCAAGCCCAAAGAACAGACAAUUAUUUCAACGACUGUUGAAUCCCUUACAGUCAGUGACAUGGAAAACCCAUUUUUGUUGUACGCUUUAGGUGUUGUAUUGAGUGCAUUUGCAUGGAUUGCUGAAAGAAGUUAUUUUAAAACGAA